CGAACGCUGGCGGCGUGGAUUAGGCAUGCAAGUCGAGCGCGAAAGUCGCCUUCGGGUGGCGAGUAGAGCGGCGAACUGGUGAGUACAAGGUGGGUAACGUGCCCGGAUGUGGGGGAUAACUUCGAGAAAUUGAAGCUAAUACCGCAUGUUCUCAGCAUCCUUCGGGAUUCUGAAGAAAGGUGCAUCGACUUCGGUCGGUGUGUCGCGUCCGGAUCGGCCCGCCUCCCAUUAGCUAGUUGGUGGGGUAAUGGCCUACCAAGGCAACGAUGGGUAGCUGGCCUGAGAGGGUGGUCAGCCACACUGGGACUGAGAUACGGCCCAGACUCCUACGGGGGGCAGCAGUCUAGAGGCAUCCACAAUGGACGAAAGUCAGAUGGUGCGACGCCGCGUGUGGGAUGACGGUCUUCGGAUUGUAAACCACUGUCGCGAGGGAAUAAGGCUCCAAAGCCGACGUUUUGGAGAUUGAAGGUACCUCGUAAGAAAGCACCGGCUAACUCC
RNAcentral lists this ribosomal RNA (498 nucleotides) under uncultured bacterium. RNAcentral's name for it is "bacterial SSU rRNA". It matches the Rfam family "Bacterial small subunit ribosomal RNA", at positions 30 to 504 of the family's 1533-position model. The record is from RNAcentral.